Molecule: long non-coding RNA, 32622 nt
Filed under: Hordeum vulgare
Lineage: Eukaryota; Viridiplantae; Streptophyta; Magnoliopsida; Poales; Poaceae
Description: long non-coding RNA (HVUL_LNC003176)
Source: RNAcentral
AAAUUUUGUGCUACGUCAGCCUUAGUCUCUACAGAAUAAAUGCUAAUAAUCCGGCAGCUUCCGCAGGAUCGCCGCUGCGAGCGCGUCGGUGAAAUUUCUGUCGCCGGUGAGCUCGCGGGCCAUCUGUUCCACCAACGCCCUCUGGAAUUCCGGCGACGCGACCUCUCGGCACACCUUCUUCAGGUCCGGCUGCGCCUCCCCUGCUGCCUCGACGACCUGCAGGCCUCCCCCGUCCUUGGUGAGGUCCAGCGUGAUGGUCGGGCCGGAGGAGUUGAUGGAGAUGGAGCACGGCACCGAGCCGCCGCUCGACGCUGUUGCCGGGCUUGCAGGAGCUGACGCUCCAGGUGGCCGUCUUGGCCAUCUCCUACAGCACGUCCUCCACCGUCAGCUCCGGGCAGCCCUUCAGCCUCCCCGCCGCCGGCGCCNGCUAGUCCAGGAGGGAUGUGGAUAAGAAGACCUUGACCACGGGGAGGGGUGUUUCUAUAAAAACGAAACGUUUUUUAACUAAACAAAGGACUGCGGGUUGAUUUCAACAAAAUACAGGGUUUUUUUUGCAAAAUUGCCACGACGGACGGCAGAAGCGAUGCGCUCUUUAUUAUUAGGGGAGAUUAAUUAGUCUUCGUAUUUACACAUUAGUACUAGAAUUCCUUUAGACGUAGCACUUUUAUUCCGUAAAACAGCUUGGCCCUGAUUUUUCAAAUAGCCAUAACUUUUUACUCGUUUAUCCGAAUUAGAUGAAACCAACGCCUAGAGUUUCGACUUGAUCCCACCUAUCCUGUGAACCUAUCAUAUCAACUUUUUGAAAUUUUUAAAUUUCGAAAUUUGUUCAUAUUCAUAUUCAAACUUUUUUUGCUCAUAUCUUUUUAUCCGUUGCUCCGUUUUAGAUGAAUCCAAUUGCGUCGGAUUCGUAUCAAAGUAAUCUUCCCGUUUGUAUCAUUAGUUUUAAAUUUUCAACUUAUAAUUUUGAUCAAAUCAGAUUUAUCUAUUAGUGCCCAAAAGUGUUCACAUCGUUCUAAGCCGAUUAAAUGUUAUAUUGAAGUAUUUGUAUCUUUUGAUCCGCUAUUUCAAAUCUAGUAAUUCUUUUUUCUACACGCUCAUAUUGAUCUACUAUAUCCAAUAGCAUCAUUAGUUUCGACCUUUGAACCUUACAAAUUUGAGCGAUUCAAAUUUGUAUUCAAACAUUCAUUUGAUCUUAUCUUGCAAAUCGUACCACCUUUUCAAUUGAUUCAUUUCACCCCUAAACACUCAUGUCAUAUAUAUUUGUACAUAACCAUCGUACUUCAGUUCAACUUCUCUUGACCUUUUUAAUGCAAAUUUAAUUCAUACUUCAAUUCACUAUAACUUGCGUUGUACUGCUCCAUUUCAAGAAAUUCUUUCUACAAAUAAAUUCUUAUGCCUUAUACUAUUUGUCAAACAACAUUCAUGUUGUUCUCCCAAUAUUUUUGAUCAUCUCCCAUAGUGUAUGCAAGUCGAGCUUAUAUAGCAAUGGUUCCUCGUCCAUUAAAUCUUUUGAUCUCAUUCAUGCACCUUCACUUUACAACACACUUAGGACCUUUUAAUUAAACCUUAGUACGUUGUUAUUUUGCACCAAGACAUGCUUUGUACUUAUGUUCUCUUGGUUCUUCCUCUUUGGCAUGAAUAUUUAUUGAAUGCUAUUUGUUUACGAUAGAUUGCUCGGAGUGUGGCGAGUAGAAUUAUCAGGAUUAUGAGAGCGACUAUCUUCAUCAAGUAAUACCAGGCAAGUCACUUUGAUCAUACUAUCACCUAUGUUUUAUGCAUCGUAGUUCUACCAUCCUAUGCCCAAUUGCAUGCUGAGUAGGUACUUGGAAAUUUUAGUAUAGAUUGUAGUAUCAUGUGGUAGGCACACAACAACCCCGAUACUUGGCCCCGGGACGACAAAGUUCAUAUUGCUAUGCUUGAGUAGACGGGAUUUCAGUUGAGUGCAUAACACGAGUGAUGCGAGGUUGAUUAAAUAAUCAAGACCGGUUAAGACAAGAUUUUCAAGACCUCGGACGCAAUGCAACUCUGGGUGAAGGACGGUUGAUCGGCUCCCUGGAGAACCCAGUGGAUGCCCGGGAUGCUGGGGACGGCCAUGACAUCCUGCGGAAAGCUUCACCCAGGCUCAAAGAGACGGACGAAUAUUUUCAAGACCCAAGGCUUACCUGCACAGCCACAAGUCAUUAUGGGCUCUGGCUUGGUUGGACAACGCGGCGACUCUGGACAGGCGGUGCUAGUAGAUGUAGACGAACGGUAGGAAUGGAUGGGCACCGACAGGGAUUCAGAGGGACCCGUUGAAAGACCAUGUUUUGAUCAUCCGGUCUUCAAACACCCUGAAGUGCGAGGACAUACACGGAGGCGAUCAAAUCUUGUGGGGAACGUGUGCAUAACUCUGCAGAGUACUUAAACCUAAUCGAUUAGCCGUGUCCACGGUCAUGGACAACUUGAGCCAAAGGAACGGAAGUUAUCUGGAUUUCUCAACACCAUUAAAUAUAUCUGAUGAGGGUAAUAUUGAUAACUCGGGUAUGAGAACUGGUUGGCGGAACCAUCUCAUUAACAACCAACAGCGUAGUAAUAUUUUGCUUUUAGCCUCUCUUGAUGUAGGAGAAAACUUGCUUUUCGCUAAAAACUUAUAGCCCCACCUACCAUAUAUGCAUAUAGUAUAGAUGAUUACUUUUCACCCCUCUCUUAUGUGACUUGCCGGCAUAUUCAAUAUGCUGACCUACACGGCUGCGACGUCUUAUGUUGCAGAUAUUUUUCUUCGACGAGUAAGAGUACGAUUCAGGGUUACGGUCUACACUCAACUUGCCGUUGGUGUUUAUUGGGACUCCACUCCCUUGACUGCUUCCGCUGAGAUAUUUAAGGUAUAUAUCAGUCUUACGCUAUUUACAUGUGAUUGCACUUUGAUAUAUACAUUGAUGUACUGUGUGUGCCAGCAUACUGAUCCAGGGAUGGCACAGAAACACAGAGGCUUGACUCGUGUUGAGUCGGGUCGCUACAUGUACUCGAUAUUGUUUCUUCGGAAAGUGCACCGUAUGCUCAUUACCGUUGACAUGGAACGUGACAUUGCCUUUGUUGCAAUCUAUAACAGCCCCUGCAGUGUUUAAAAAGGGUCUUCCGAGGAUGACCGCCAUGGCAUCAUCCUUAGGAAUAUCCAAGAUAACAAAGUCUGUUAAGAUGGUGAUGUUAGCAACCACAACAGGCACAUCCUCGCAAAUGCCGAUAGGGAAAGCAGUUGAUUUGUCGGCCAUUUGCAGAGAUAUUUCAGUGGGUGUCAACUUAUCCAGUUCAAGUCUACGAUAAAGAGAGAGAGGCAUAACACUAACACCGGCUCCAAGGUCGCAUAACGCAGUUCUAACGUAGUUACCUUUAAUGGAGCAAGGUAUAGUGGGCACACCGGGAUCACCUAGUUUCUUAGGAGUUCCACCCUUGAAGGUAUAAUUGGCAAGCAUGGCGAAGAUCUCAAGAUCAGGUAUCCUCCUCUUAUUAGUCACAAUAUCUUUCAUGUACUUAGCAUACGGAGACAUUUUGAGCAUAUCUGUCAAACGCAUUUGCAGAAAGACAGGUCUGAUCAUUUCAACAAAUCGCUCAAAAUCCUCAUCAUCUUUUUCUUGGAUGGUUUGGGAGGAAAGGGCAUGGUUUUCUGAACCCACGGUUCCCUUUCUUUACCAUGCUUCCUAGCAGCGAAGUCAUUCUUAUCGUAUCUCUUAGUCUUAGGGUGUGGGUUAUCAAGAUCAACACUAGGUUCAAUCUCCACAUCCUUAUCAUUGCUAGGUUGAGCAUCUUCAUGAACAUGACUAUUGAUAUUAUCAUUAGGCUCAUGUUCAUCACCAGAUUGUGUUUCAGCAUCAGAGACAGAGGCAUCUUUUGGACUCUGAGGGGUAGCAGCAACAGGGUUGCUAGCGUGCAGGUUCCUGUCAUCUUUCUUCUUCUUUCUAGGAUGACUAGGUGCAUCAGUGCUAACUCCUUGAGAAUCUUGUUCAACUCUCUUCGGGUGACCCUCAGGUUACAAAGGUUCCUAGGUCAUUCUACCGCCUCUAGUAACGACUCUGACAGAAUUGUCAUUCAACUCAUUGAGCAAGUCAUUCUGAGCUUUAAGUACUUGUUCUACCUGAGUAGUAACCAUAGAAGCAUGUUUACUUAGAAGUUUAAUAUCAUUGACAUUUCUGUCCACACAAGCACUUAAAUGACUAAGCAUACGAGCAUUCUUUUCCAAUUUUCUGCUAACAUAAUCAUUGAAACUCUAUUGUUUGGCAACAAAGUUAUCAAAUUCAUCCAUGCAUAGGCUAGCGGGUUUAUCAAAAGGAAUAUCACUCUCAUCAAACCUACGCAGAGAAUUUACUUCUACUACCUGUAUCGGGUUAUCGAGACCAUGGAUCUCUUCGAUAGGUGGUAGAUUUUUGACAUCUUCAGAUUUAAUGCCUUUCUCUCGCAUAGAUUUCUUGGCUUCUUGCAUAUCUUCAUGACUGAGGAAUAGAAUACCUCUUUUCUUUGGAGUUGGCUUAGGAGGUGGUUCGGGAAUAGUCCAAGCAUUCUCAUUGCACAAGAUGUUAUUCAAUAGGAUUUCAGCUUGUUCUACAGUUCGUUCCCUAAAAACACAACCAGCACAACUAUCUAGGUGGUCUUUCGAAACAUCAGUAAGUCCAUUAUAGAAGAUAUCAAGUAUUUCAUUCUUCUCAAGAGGGUGAUCACACAAAGCAUUCAGUAGCUGGAUGAGCCUCCCCCAAGCUUGUGGGAGACUCUCUUCUUCAACUUGAGCAAAGUUGUAUAUUUCGUGCAAGGCAGCUUGCUUCUUAUGGGCAGGGAAAUAUUUUUCAGAGAAGUAGUAGACCAUAUCCUGGGGGCUACGCACACAACCAGGAGCAAGAGAAGUGAACCAGGUAUUAGCAUCAUCCUUUAGCGAGAAACGAAACAGCUUGAGCAUAUAAUAGUGGCGGAUCUUUUCCUCACUAGUGAAUAGGGUGGCUAUAUCGUGCAGUUUGGUAAGAUGGGCUACAACCGUUUCAGACUCAUAACCGUGAAAAGGAUCAGAUUCGACCAGAGUGAUUAACUCAGGGUCGGCAGAGAAUUCAUAAACCUUAUCGGUCACAAAGAUAGGCGAAUUGGCAAACUUCGGGUCAUAUUUCAUCCUAGCGUUCACAGAUUUUUCUUUCCACUUGCGCAGAAGUUUCUCAACAUCAUAGCUAUCCUUACACGCAAGAAAAUCUUCAGCUAUCUCUCCCUCCAUAACAUAGCGUGUAUCAGGCAUAACAGGGAAUUCAGGCAUAGUAGCAGGUUCUACUUCAAUAGUAUCAGCAGUUUCAGAAGUAUCAUCACAUCUAGCGGCAGCUCUAGCAAUAUGUGCAUCAAGGAAUGCACCAAGUGGCAAAGCAGUAUCAGGCAUAGCAGGCAUAGUAUCAAGCAUNNNNNNNNNNNNNNNNNNNNNNNNNNNNNNNNNNNNNNNNNNNNNNNNNNNNNNNNNNNNNNNNNNNNNNNNNNNNNNNNNNNNNNNNNNNNNNNNNNNNUGCCUUUUCUGUUUUUUCUGUUUCCCUUUUCUUUUCUUUUCUCUAUUUUAUUAUUCGUUUUAUAUUAUGAUUUAUUUUAAAUUCAUAUUUUUUGUUUCGAUAAUUAUUUUUAUUUUCUCUAUUUUACCAUUUAAUUUUAUUUGUUUCCUUUUCCAUCCAUUUCUUAUUUAUUCAUUUAUUUAUUUUAAAUUCAUGAAACUUUUUCACUCUGUCAUCUUUUAACUUCAAAUGUUGUGCAAAUCUUUUUUGCGGGUUCUUUUUGUCACCCCCGUCCAGUGGUGUGCUAUUUGUCUUUUGUCUAUUUGUCGACUUGUUCACGUGUGCGAUUUUUGGUGGAUCAUUUUCCAUGACGCGAUCUGGGAGUUCUGUUUCGGAUUGGUUUUACUAAUUCUCAUCUAGGUGAGAGUUGACAAUGUCAUCUAACUCCUAUACCAUUAAAUAUCGUUUGCAAAAGUAUUCAUUUGUCGUUGUGUCAUAUUUUGUCUUCAUCUCAUGAGAAGUAGUGAGACCUGAUAUGACUUUUAGUGAGCCGUUUUCAUGUUUUGUGUAUUGGUUUAUUUUUUGGGCUAUAGUUUUUUGGUGGAAGGCCACAUGUCAUUUUAUUCCAUGUUAUUUUAUUUUAUUUUCGGUUCGAUUGUGUANNNNNNNNNNNNNNNNNNNNNNNNNNNNNNNNNNNNNNNNNNNNNNNNNNNNNNNNNNNNNNNNNNNNNNNNNNNNNNNNNNNNNNNNNNNNNNNNNNNNGAUUGACGAACGGGAGCUAGUUACAUAUCUCUCCGUGUUAUAGCUGUUACAUGAUGAAUCACAUCCGUCAUACUCAUCCAUCACCAAUCCACUAGCUACGAGUCUUUUACUACUGGUUCUCGCUACGUUACUUUGUUUAGGCUUGUCCCUUGCUACAAAAUGGAUUGGGCCACUUUGCUGCUACUGCUGUCACUUUGCUACUACUGUUGCUACUGCUGUUACUCUGUUGCUGCUACUACUGGUGUUCCUUGCUACCUCGCUGUUACUUGUUGCAAGACUUUUCUGGAGCCGUUGCUAGGGAAGAAUAGUUCCCAGUCCACAUGCUCUUUACUGGCGCCAUUGAUAGAACAGUUAGGAAUAGUGUGCCAUCAACAGAUCGUUUCUGGCAUCGUUGCUAUCAUACUACUUUGCUACUGAUACUUUGCUUGCAGACACUAAUCUUUCAGGUGUGGUUGAAUCUGAUAAAUUCAGCUGCUAAUACUUGAGAAUAUUCUUUCGCUUCCCUUGGCGAACCAACAAAUUUGGGUUGAAUACUCUACCCCNNNNNNNNNNNNNNNNNNNNNNNNNNNNNNNNNNNNNNNNNNNNNNNNNNNNNNNNNNNNNNNNNNNNNNNNNNNNNNNNNNNNNNNNNNNNNNNNNNNNCUAUAGGGCGAAUUCAAAAAAUGCUCAGGAUUUUUGUCAAAAUAUUCACAUAUUCAGAAAAAUGUUCAUAAUUUUGAGAACAAUGUUGGUGAAAACAAUAAAAGUCCAUGAUUUUGAAAAAAAGUUUGUGUGUUAUUUUUUGAGUGCAAUUGAAAAAAAUGUUUGGUUAUUUAAAAAAUGUUCAUGCAUUUUAAGAAAUGUCCUAAAAUUUUGAAGACAUAAUAUGAUCAGCACCAUUGGAGAUUAUAAUUGUUUUUCUCCCGUUGCAACGCACGGGUCCUUUUGCUAGUAUAUCUAAUUACUCUAUCGUAUACUAGUGUAGGAAUACUAGUCUAGAAAUAAUAAACUACGGGAGUAAAAAAAAUACCUUUAGAAUGCAGAGUAAGAAUUAAUUCCAAUGAGGAGACGACUUCGAGAAAUCCCGCCGAAGAGAAAAAAAAUAUUUUUAUUUAAUAAAUCUAGUUAAACCAAAAGAUUGAUUUAACCCGAAAUAGAUGAUUUUUUGGAUGCUCCUAUGGGUCUAUAUUUAUAGGUGGAAGGAAGGUCUAAUGAUCCAUAGAUAGGCAAUGUGGGACUAAACAUAUACGUAACGUGGAGAGAAAAGAAAAAGAAAGGAAGAGGGGUGCCGCAUGGGCCAUGGAUUCGGCCAGCCAUAUGAGUAGUACGGCCAGGCGCUGCCUUUGUUUUUUUCUUUUUCGAACGAACAAUUUUUUUUAAAACAAAGAAAAACGUAUAAAUGAAAAAGAGAGAAAAUUUUAUAUAGACAUAUUAUAUAUCAAAAUUUUCAGAAUAAAAUUUUCUAAAACAUGAACAUAUUUUUAAAACCAAAAAAAAUACUUUUUUAAAAAGUUAUUUUUUUGCAAUAACUUUAAAAUGAAAAGGAAUUUGAAUUUCAAAUAAAUUGCAAAUACUUAAAAUUUGAAUCAAGACAUUGUCUCUGAUUUUGGAGUGUCAUUUUUCUCCUUUCGUUUGAUUUUUUUUAAUCAAAGGUUUUUGAAAAUAUUCAAACUCAAAAUUGAAAAGGGAUUCAAAAUAGAAAAUUUUGGGAAAGUCAUUUUAUUCCCUCUCAUUUUUUUGAAAAGUUUCAAAGUCCACUCAAGUUUCAGUCACUCAAACAAACAAACAAUCAAUCUAAUAAUUAUAUUAACAUUCCAAAAUUUANACAGUGCACUUUCCGAAGAAACGAUAUCAAGUACAUUGCAUCAAUGCUAUCGAAAAGACUUCAUCGAUUCUUAUUGGGAGCUUUGAAUGCCCUAUUCCUCGUGUCAAGAUGAAGUAUGAUUUGCUUGUUGGGGAAAUACACAUCCCCAUUGAGGUGACCUAGUGACUAUUCGAGAAUUCUCCGUUCUCUUUUGCGAUUCGAAAAGGUUUGUCGAGGAGACUUGAUCAACCUCACUGACGGAUUUCUUUCGAUGACCAUGAGAUGGAUGAAUCGAGGAGUCACAAACCUCUGUUUCAAGCUUUCACCUUCGGUUGCUUAGAAGAAAAAUGAUAGAUUUAGAUUAGUUUUCCCUGUUUUCUGUUUUAGCGUCCGGUAGAAAAGUACCACGAAAAUAGAAGUUCUCCGAACGUCCUGAAAAUCAAGUAUGAUUUUUUCUGGAUUUUUUAAAAAAUACUGGGACAAAGAGUCUGUCUCGGGGCCACACUAGUGGGCCACAAGCCCUAGGGACGCGGGCACCCCCUAGUCGCGCCACCCAGGCUUGUGGGGCCCACAGGCACCCCCUCCACUCAUUCUUGCUCUCAUCCGCUUCUCCUACCUCCAGAAAAAAUCGUUUCGCAGCUCAAACCCGUGAUCUUGCUCCUCUUGCUGGGAUUUUCGAUCUCUUUGCUCAAAUCACCAUUCUCCGAACUGUUUUGGGGAAAUUACUCCUUGGUAAGUGACUCCUCCAUUGGUCCAAUUAGUUUUUUCUCUAGUGCCUUAUACUCCGCAUAUUUUUGCUGCCUUGGUGACCAUGUUCUUGAGCUUUGCAUGCUGAUUUUAGCUGGUCCCAAGUAGUUUUGAUGCGUAAUAUGGCCUCUAGGCACUUGUGGGAGUAGUUGCUAUGAGUUUUGUUGGGCCUUAUUCACUUUUCCUUAGAAUCACUAAAAAAUUCAGAAAUUUUCAGAGAUAGAAAAGGGAAAAGAUGAGGAGGUUCUUAAUAGGCUCUUCAAGCUGUGAGCCCAAGGAUGAUGGGAGUGAGAAGAAGCCCAAGUAUCCGGUCCCUCGAGUCGUAGAAGUUCGAGCAUGCGAAUGGCCAAGCGACGUGUUCUUACGCGCCGCAGGAAUUUAUGAGGACUUUUAUCACUUGGUGGAAAAUGCAGGCCUUACCGCCUUCGUUGAAGAUAAGUGUCCGCAAUACCUCCUCCUCACCAAUAUCUUCGUACAAAGCUUUAACUUCUAUCCGAGGAAGAAUCCUCCUAUGGUUGAGUUUAAACUUUAUGAUAUCCCCCAGCGCAUGUCACUCCAGGAUUUUUGCAAUGUUUGCAAAUUUCCUUUUGUUGGGGAUAUUCGUGAACCUCUUCCACGAGACUUGGAAGCUUUCAUUGAUACAAUUGCUGUAGGAGAGGAGAGAGGAGUGUCUUGCGCUAGAGCUGCUAGCAUUCAUUUUCCCGUGCUUCGGUACUUCUCAUUAUUUGUGGGAAAAUGUUUGAUUGGCUGUGGGAAAGCUGGGUCACUUAGUUCCCCAGAUCUUGCGGUCUUGCACGAAGCCCUUUAUAACGAUAAAACUUAUAGCUUGGGCGUUAUAGUAGCUCAACGGUUGAACCUGAACCGUUCUAAAGGUGUUGUCUAUGGAGGUAUCUAUGCUACUCGUCUUGCCAGACACUUUGAGAUACCUAUUAGACUGGACGAGGAAGAAGAGGUUCUUCUUCCCGAGAGAUAUCUAGAUUACGACAACAUGGUUCGCCAUGACUUUUUUGAUAGAGAUAUAAGUAGAAGGAUGAUUUAUAACCUGGUGUUUAGUCAGGGUACCCGUGAGACUAUUACUUUGCCUGCUCCUUCUUUGUUCAAUCUUCAUGCAAGCAGGUACAUUAUUAUGCCCUCAGACAUCUACGCAUAUUGGGGCUUAGCCCAACCACAGGUGCCCGUGCCCGAGCCACCAGUCGAGUACCAGACGCCGGUUUAUCAGUGGGAGCUAGAGGAGCUCACAUAGCAGUGGCAUCCUCAGUCCACUCAGGAGUACCCCGGAGCUGGUUAUUUCCCUCCUUGGGGGUAGACCAAGUUAGGACAAAAGCCUAAGCUUGGGGGAGUACGUGUUCUCACCGACUUUACAUUCUUGCUUAUGCUUUCACUUUGUUAGCCGGUGUUCGCACUUUGCCACUGUAUCAUCCAUGCUAGUUUAUUUUCUUUUUCUCGUUUUCUUUUUGUGUGUCUGUCUAGUUUGAAAAACCCAAAAAGAUUUUCUUUUUCUUCUUUUGCUUGUUGGGAGCUUUCCCGUGUAGAUAGUUUUGUUUUUUCUUUGGGUCAAGGUAGAAGAUAUUGGUUACAAUGUUUAGCGGCUCUUGCAUGCAUACCUGUUUAGCUUUCAAACAACCAUAUUAUUUUGUCUUCUCCUUUGUGUUUGCCUGCAGAUUCCAGCUUUAGUCCAAUGCACGAGCACGCUUAUUAUUGUUCACAUCAUACGGUCGUGCAAGUGAAAGGCAAUAAUGACGAUAUAUGAUGAAGUGACUGAGCCUGGAAAAGCUGGUAUGAACUCAAUCUAUUUUGUUUUUGUAAAUAUGACUAGCUCUUCAUGCCUGAUUCAGCUUUGUUGUGAGAGAAACAUGUUUGCAAUGAAAACUUAGAGAUCAUAGUUGCUUAUGCCAUGCUUACUUAACUAGGAGCCUAUAAUGGUUUGUCUUGGUUGCCCACAUGAAUGUUGAGAUGACUGUGUUGUAGUAUGAUAGGAUGGUAUCCUCCUUUGAAUGAUUCAAGUGGCUUGACUUGGCGCAUGUUCACGCAUGUAGUUGAAACAAAAUCAACAUAGCCUCUAUGAUGUCCAUGUUCAUGGUGAUUUAUGUCCUACUCAUUCUUGCACUCAAUGUUAGUUAAUCUCAAUGCAUUUUGAUGACUGUUGUCGCUCUCUAGUUGGUCGCUUCCCAGUCUUUUGCUAGCCUUCACUUGUCCUAAGUGAGAAUACUGCUUGUGCAUCCACUUCCAUAAACCCAAAGUUGUUCCAUAUGAGUCCAUCAUACCUACCUAUUUGUGGUAUCUACCUACCGUUCCAAGUAAAUUUUCAUGUGUCAUUCUCUAAACCUUCAAGAAAUAAUCUGUUUUGCAUGCCCGAACCACUCAUGUGGUGACAGGGGGCUAUUGGUAUCUUCCAUGCUAGGCGUGUUAUCCUCGAUAUGUGUUUAUUCACUGUCAUUCACGAGAAAGGGGCCGGUAAUUGGAAUUCCCAGUUCCAUGCUCAAAUCAAAAUAUAGUUGCAAACAAAAGUCCCCCAGGAUUGAUGUUGGUAUGGACGGUACCUGAGGAUCGGCUAGCCGUGGAGUGUGAUUGAUUGGUGGUGGGGGAGUCAAAACUUUACUUUUCUGUUUGGGAACCGCCUAUAUCAUGUGUAGCGUGGAAGAUGUUGAUAAGUCUUGGUCAUUGCGUUGACAAUGAAAGCAUACCAACCAAAAUUAUUAUCUCUGUUUUCAAAGCUUGAGCUCUGGCACCUCUGCAAAUCAAUGCUUCCCUCUGCAAGGGCCUAUCUAUUUAUGUUCCUGUUGAGUCAUCCUCCUCUUAUAAAAGCACCAAUUAGAGAGCACCUGUGUCGUUUUUGUGCGUUGCUUUUAACUGUGUUGAGUAUGACUAUGAAUGGAUCUUCAUUGCCAUGAAUUACAAUGUUUAGUCAGCCCUUGGUCUUUUAAGGUGCUGUGCAUUUAUGUUUUGCGGUAUCAGAAAGAGCUAGAGAGAUACCAUCUCUUCGCACUGCUUCAUGAUUGUUUUGAUUGAAGUGUUGACGUUUGAGACUUAUUAUUAUUUGCUCGCUAGUUGAUUAUGCCAUUGGUACGAGUUUAACAUGAGACCUAGAUGUAUUUUGCUUAUCUCGUUUGCUUGUGAUCUUGCUGAAAUUCUGGUUAUGAGUUAGACAUAGUUGCAACAACAAGAUCAAACAGAGUUCGUCAAAGUUUUUCUUUUGUCUCUUUCAGUUUGUCAACUGAAUUGCUUGAGGACAAGCAAGGAUUUAAGCUUGGGGGAGUUGAUACGUCUCCGUCGUAUCUACUUUCCGAACUCUUUUGCCCUUGUUUUGGACUCUAAUUGGCAUGAUUUGAAUGGAACUAACCCGGACUAACGUUGUUCUCAGCAGAAUUGCCAUGGUGUUGUUUUUGCGCAGAAAUAGAAGUUCUCGGAAUAACCUGAAAAUUUUCGGAGAAUUUUUCUGGAAUUUAUGAAAAAUACUGGCGCAAGAAUCAACGGAUGGAGUGGAGCUAUGAGCCCGCAAGCCCACCAGGCGCGGCCCCCCUGGCCGCGCCUCGCAGGCUUUUGGGGCCCACAACGCUCCACCGCCUCCAAUCUCAGGUCUAUUUUAGUCCGUAUCACCCGGACAAAAAUCAUAGAGAAGGUUUCAUCGCGUUUUGUGAUACGGAGGCGCCGCCACAUCCUCUUCUUCAUAUGGAGGGCAGAUCUGGAGUCCGUUUUGGGCUCCGGAGAGGGGAAAUCGUCGCCAUCGUCAUCAUCAACCUUUCGCCAUCGACAAUUCCAUGAUGCUCUUCACCGUUCGUGAGUAAUCUCAUCGUAGGCUUGCUGGACGGUGAUGAGUUGGAUGAGAUCUAUCAUGUAAUCGAGUUAGUUCUUGACGGGGAUUGAUCCCUAGUAUCCACUAUGUUCUAGAUUGAUGUUGCUACUACUUGGCUAUGCUUAAUGCUUGUCACUAGGGCCCGAGUGCCAUGAUUUCAGAUCUGAACCUAUUAUGUUGUCACUAAUAUAUGUGUGUUUUAGAUCCUAUCUUGCAAGUUGUAGUCACCUACUAUGUGUUAUGACCCAGCAACCCCGGAUUGACAAUAGUCGGAACCACUCCCGGAGAUGACCAUAGUAUGAGGAGUUCAUGUAUUCACCACGUGUUAAUGAGUUGGUCCGGUUCUUUAUUAAAAGGAGAACCUUAAUAUCCCUUAGUUUCCAUUAGGACCCCGCUGCCACGGGAGGGAUGGACAAGAGAUGUCAUGCAAGUUCUUUUCCCUAAGCACGUAUGACUACAUACGGAAUACAUGCCUACAUUAGAUUGACGAACGGGAGCUAGUUACAUAUCUCUCCGUGUUAUAGCUGUUACAUGAUGAAUCACAUCCGUCACACUCAUCCAUCACCGAUCCACUGCCUACGAGUCUUUUACUACUGGUCCUCGCUACGUUACGUUGCCUAGGUUUGUCCCUUGCUACAAAAGGGAUUGGGCCACUUUGCUACUACUGUUGCUACUGCUGUUACUCUACUGCUGCUGCUACUGCUGUUCCUUGCUACUUCACUGUUACUUGUUGCAAGAUCGUUUCCGACACUAUUGUCGGGGAAGAAUAGUUACUCGUCCACGUGCAACCUACUGGCGCCAUUGGUACAACAGUUAGGAAUAAUCAGCCGUCAACAGAUCGUUUCUGGCACAGUUAUUAUCAUACUACUUUGCUACUGAUUCUUUGCUUGCAGACACCAAUCUUUCAGGUGUGGUUGAAUCUCACAAACUCAGCUGCUAAUACUUGAGAAUAUUCUUUCGCCUCUUCUUUGGCGAACCAACAAAUUUGGGUUGAAUACUCUAACCUCGAAAACUGCUGCGAUCCCAUACGCUUGUGGGUCAUCAAUCGAUACCUUGGUUCUCAAACUGAGGGAAAUACUUACUGCUCCUGUGCUGCAUCACCCUUUCCUCUUCAAGGGAAAAACCGACGCUAACAAGAGAAGUAGCAAGAAGAAUUCCUGGCGUUGCUUGGGAAGGACUUUUGUUGCCGUAGGAGGAGGGUUAUGGCCAAAAUGGAUGCACUUCGUGUAUAAAAUGGACAAUCUCUUUCGAAGUAUCGGGAUUUCGGACGAAUCUCAUCUCUUACGAAGGCAUUCCAUUUUUUAAUAACCUAAAAAUUAACAAAUUUAAUAUAAUGGUAAAACACACUAAUAUUAAACAUUAGAAAAAAAGAAUGACCAAAAAAUCUAUUUAAAUAUAAAGUUAUUCACAAAAUAGUGAUUCACACAAAUUUCAAAAAAAAUCAAAUUUGAACUACGUAAAUUUGAAAACUACUAGCACUAACAGAAAUUUUGUAGUUUAUUGACCUAAAACAAAAAGAUUCAUUCAAAAACUAUAAAUAAUCUAACACUUAUUCCUAAUUAAAAAACAAAAACUGUCGUGUUUAGAAAAUUAAAAACAAUAAAAAAGAGAAAAUAGACCUUUAGUCCCGGCUGGAGCCACCAACUGGGACUAAAGGUCCCUUCUUGCGCGGAGUUUGGGCCGUCGAAAAUACACCUUUAGUCCCGGUUGGUUGGUCUAGCCGGGACUAAAGGUGUGUGCUAGUGGGCCAGGCGCCCCACCUUUAGUCCCGGUUGGAGCCACCAACCAGGACUAAAGACCCUUUAGUCCCGGCUCCAACCGGGACUAAAGGUCCCUACAUAUAAAUCCCCGUGCCUGUUUCGGCCCGAUCUCUUCCAUUCGACCCCUCGACGCCGACGCCCCUGCCCAGAUGCUUCCAGGCUGUCGGAGUCGCCGCCGCUCUGAAGCCGUCCUCGUCGUCGCCGCCAUCGACGUCGGUCGUCUGCGCCUCAUCCACGAGCCAUCUGCCCGUCGACGAGCCGCUGCUGCGCUCGGGUCCUUCUCUCCCACAGUGAGCUCCGUCGGCCGCCUCCUUCCCUCCUCGAACUGAGCGCCAUGGCCACCGGCCUGCCCGAGCGCGGCGGCGCCAUGGCCGCCGGCCGACCCGAUGUUCAUAUAGAUGUUUUGAAAUUGUUCAUAGAUUUUCAUAUAUAGAUGUUUUGAAAUUGUUCAUAGAUGUUCAUAUAGAUGUUUUGAAAUUGUUCAUAGAUGUUCAUAUAGAUGUUUUGAAAUUGUUCAUAUAUGUUCAUAUAGAUGUUUUGAAAUAUUGUUCAUAGAUAUGUUUUGAAAUUUUUGCCAUAUGGUUAAUUAGGUAGUACUCCCUCCGUUCCUAAAUAUAAGUCUUUCAGAUGUUUCACUAAAAUACUACACACGUGAUGUAUAUGGACAUUCUUUAGAGUGUAGAUUCACUCAUUUUGUUCCGUAUCUAGUUUCCUAGUGAAAUAUCUAAAAAGACUUGUAUUUAGGAAUUGUUGCCAUAGUUUUAGGUAGUGUGAUGUUCAUAUAGAUGUUUUGAAAUUGUUGCCAUAGUGUUAGGUAGUACGAUGUUCAUAUAGUGUUAGGUAGUGCGAUGUUCCUAGUGUUAGGUGUUACCAUGCAUAUAAUAAGUUUACAUUGUGAGAAGAAAAUAUGUACGAUGAUAACUUACUUAUUUAGAUGUAUAUGAUAUUUCACCCUAAGCUUAAAUAGUAGAAAUUUAAAUAAUUGUAGAAUUUGUUCUCGACAUCGACGAUACCCGACCCACAUCCUCGUCAUCGACUCGGUGGCGCCAACCUGCUUGAGAGGCGCCAUGUCCGGGACUGGGCUCCGCCGGGCUGGCACUGGGAGGUGCUACCUUGCGGGGCGUGCAUCUUGCCGAGGAACCGGGCUCCCGUCAUCGACCCAGAGCUUCUUUGGUGGCGGUCGCGUGGUCCACUUUCGGUGCGGAGUAAGCCAACCCCCGAGGAGGAGGUACAUCGCCGUGCCAGGGAGGACGACAAGCAUAUCCGUCUCUACAUGGAGGCGUUGGACGUCAGGUUCUUAAAUACCUGGCAUAUCCUUCACGGAUCUCACACGAGCUAUGAUCCUGUGAUGGUUCCUUCGCUUUGGGUGUCCACCACCCGCGCCUCAGUACAAUGGCAACUCUUUGGGUGGCCGGUUUGAUAAUAUGAAUCGAGAGAUGUAUUAGUGAUAAUAUUGGAGAGAUGUAUUUGAGAUUAUAUUCGAUAAUAUUAAUUCUAUGAUGCAUUAAUUAAGUGAAUUAUUCGAUGUAUUCGUGAUAUUAUAUAUAUGAUGAUCUUGCUAGUUAUAGUGAAUACUAAAUUGUGUUAUCUUUCUUCUUGAUUACUUAAGCUAUGGACAGUAGAGACAGAGACCAUGAUCAACAAUAUGUCUUGUACGACAUAAUACGCCCGGGAAACCAAGAGAAUGAAUAACUAGAUGAUGGCUCACAAUAUCUGAACCCAUACUGUGAGGGAAUUGAGGAAGAACAACCAAGAGACCAUGGGGAACCAGACAAUGAUGACGAAGAACUUUUUCUCGAAUCAACAAAGUCCGACGAGGUAUAUAUUUGUCCCUUGGUGAUCAUUAGAUGUAUUAAUUGAUCUAUAUAUAAUAUAUAUUAACGAGUCUCUUCUUUUAGCCCUCCGGAUCGAGCAAAUUGCCUAUAAGCAGGGCAGUACAAGGCCAGGCCAAAAAGUUGGCUGACGAUAGAAAGUACAACAUCGACGACAUAACAGAAGGUGGCCUACCAAGUGGUCCCAAAGCUAAUGUGGACAAAUUUGUCCGUCAAUGCGGAGUUAUUGUCAGGGACCAAAUCCCGAUCUCCAUUCAAGAGUGGCAUAGACCAAAGAAAGAUCGAGAAGUUAGUUUUGUGGACGAAAGAGCAAAAAAUCUGCUUUGGGAUACAGUCAUGACGCAUUUCACCCUAUCAGAGAAUUUGUCAGAUGCACAACGGGAGAAAGUCAAGAGGUAUGCUCUUAAGAAGAUGGACACACAAUUUUGCAACUGGAAGAAAAGGUUAUGGUCCAACUUCGGCAAACAAGACAAGACUCCAGAAUUCACUGUACAAUACGAGAAGUUAAAAGAUCAUGGGACUUACUUGUGCAGUUCAAGCAAUCAGAAACCGCUAAGGAGAGGGCGAGGAUAAACAAGCAAAAUGCUCAGAAAAAAGAGAACCACCAUUCUCUGGGGCCAGGUGGCUACAAGAGUGGCAUACCUAAGUGGGAUGAAUACGAGCAAAAUAUGAUUGAUGCAGGGGUCACUCCGCAAACAAUUACUUAGACCAGAAGGUGCAUGAAUUGGUUUUAUGGGCAUGUGGGAAAGUUGGACCCAAACACAGGGGUGAUUUUGGAGCAUGCAAGUCUUAAAAAUGCCUCUAAAGCUAUACUUCAGGCAAUAAAAGAUGCUCGAACGGGGGUGUUCCAGCCCGAGAGAGAGAACAAUGAGCUUACACACGCCCUCAAGAAUCCCGAACACCCGGGACGAACACGAGGCAAAGGCGUUGUUCAGUGAGCUGAGGGGUUUAAGGACUGGAACAAACUCUUACAAAAGCCGUUCGAGAAAUAAGAAUCAGGAGGCAUGCAAGAAGAGGCAGGACGUUGACCGGCUUGAGGAUUUGGAACGCAAAUUCUUGCGACAGCAAGAGCAGAUCGACAACUUAACCAGCAAAGGACUUCCCAGCGGCUGGAGCAACCAGAUCCAACAUUGGAUAACAUCAUCCCAGCGAUGCCGAAAAGUAGCAUGGGUUCCAUGAGGGUCAUUGCGGAUGCUCACUGUUGGCUCAUUACCCCGUGGGUGAAAUCAUAGAGGCGAAAAGUUGUGAGCUUCACAUGAAACUCAAGAACAUAUCCACGAAGGUAGCGGAUGACUAUGCUUUAACAAAUCCCCCUGAUGCAACCUUCCAUUCCAAUCCGAUUCCAGCUCGCUAUGCUCGUGUCGAGGUGUAUGAAGUGAUGCCGGGAUAUGAGUCACUAGAGCUCGACAUUCCUGGAGGUGAAGGGUAGCAUACACUGCAAGAAGUCUUACAUGGUCUCUGCUUAUGGAGAAAGGACUACAUCGUCUUUCCAAGGCCAUCGACUCCUCCACCAAGUCCGCCGCGUCAGCCGACUCCAACCCACCACCCGACACGGAGCAUAGCGCUAGUCCGCCACCGCGUUAGCUGACUCCAUCCCACCCCGACAUGAAGCCCAACACGAGUCUACCACCGUGGCCAUUUAAUCUUCUGAUGAAGAACCAGAGCCCAAAGUGGAAGAGAGCACCAAGGAAGAAACCCUACCCUCCUGCCAAAAAGAAGUUGGCUUACGAGAUGAGCACGGAGGAAAGAGACACCCAAGUGGCUAAGGAAUUGUAGGACCAUUUUGGACUGAAACCGUUGAUGACCCACAAGUGUAGGGGAUCUAUCGUAGCCUUUUCGAUAAGUAAGAGUGUCGAACCCAACGAGGGGCAGAAGGCACUGACAAGUGAUCUUUAGCAAGGAAUAACUGCAAGUAAUAAAAGGUAGUUUUUUCUGGGUUUUCUAGUAAUAGCAACAAGGAAAUAAAUGCAAGAAAAAUAAAUGGUGCCGAGGUGCAGCGAGUGGCCCAAUCCUUUUGAACACAAAGGAUAAGCCGAGGGACUAAACUUAUAAAGACUAAGGCAUUACUGAGGACACACGAGAGAGAUAGUCAAGUGCUUUCGCCAUACUCUGUCUAGUACUAUGUUUUGUAUUGAUAAGUGUUAUGUGGGUGGAUCUUAACUAGUGCACCAUCUAGGCUAACACAAGUACACUCUUAUGAUUAAUCCCUCUUGCAAGAAUCCGCAUAUACAAGAGAGAAAUUAAGGAAAAACCUAACCAUAGCAAUAAGCUUUAGGAUCCAGUACUCCCUCAUGCAAAAGUAUGCGAAUUGGGGUUCAGGUUUCUGUCACUCCGGCAACCCACCAUAAGAAUUAUUUAUACAUGAUGCAUUCCCCUAGGUCCUUAAAAAGGUGAAGUGUUAUGUAGUUGACAUUCACAUAACACCACCAGAAGAAUAACACCAUAACUUAAAUAUCAAUCAACACAUGUUACUUCAACAUCAUAUGACUACUAGCAUUUAGAAUUUUACCAUGUCCUCAAGAAUUAACAUAACUAUUCACAAGACAUAAAAUAGAUCAUGAUCAAAGGUGAUGAAAAUAUGAUUAACAAUCUGUUCAUAACAAUAAUUCUCCAACAAAACUCAAUAGCAUUCACCACAAAAGAGUAAUCAACACCGGUAGAGUAGAGGGGAUUAAUAGUGCAAGGUAUAACUCUGAUCGUAGUAGAUGGGAUGAAGAUGGAGAUGGUGCUGGUGAUGGUGAUGAUGGUGAUGAUGAUCUCAAUGACGCCCGUGAUGAUGAGGAUGAUCUCCCCUUCCGGGAAGAGUUCUCCCCGGCGGAAUCUGCCCGCCAGAAAGGUCUUUUCUUCUCUGUAGGUUUCCGCCAUGGAGCGUCGGCGGAACUGCGAAAACUCUUCUGUCCCCAUAACUUUUAGGUCAAGAGUAUGAUAUAGGCCAAAGGAGAGAGACGGAGGCGGGACCCACCACCCAGGCGGCCUCUGGGCGCGACCUAGGGGGCCCACUCUAGCAGGUUGCUUGGGUGACCUGUGCCCCCCUCCAGCCCUCCUUCGACCAGUCUUCGUGAUACGUUCGGAAACUUCUUCCUUCAAAAUUUCAGCGCAGUUGGAGAUGUUCUGAUAUGGUAACUCUUCGUGCUAUUUUCUCCGCUGAAUCCUGCGUGUGCUGUUUUGGCACCGGAAAGUUGUAAACUGCGUAAAAUAAUCCAAAACACUAUAAGCACAUCAUCAUAAUGUGAAAUAUAUCAAUGAAUAGAGAUAAAUUAUGAUACAAAAUAGUGAUGCAUUUUGGAUGUAUCAACUCCCCCAAUCUUAGACCUCGCUUCUCCCUAGGCGAAUACUGAGCUCGGUAAACCUGUCCACAAGUUUAGAGAGUGAAGUGUCGAUAAAUAAGAAUAUUGACAAGAAGGAUCAAUUUCGCUACUAAACUCAACCAUCCUCAACAACAAUCUCAACUCAUAAGGCUCUUAUGAAAGAGUGAUAUCAAUCACAAUCAAAAGUAGGGCUAGAAAAACUCAUCAAACCAUGGCAAACAUGUCCUUGGUCAAAGAACAACUAAUAACUUUUAACUUUUGCUCUUCCUCUUAUAUUUUGAUGAGAUCAAUUGAAGCUUUUUGAAAGAACAUGUUAUUAGUCAAGAAGUGAAAAUGCUAACACAAAGGAAGAUGUUUUCUUUAGCUAGGCUUUAACAAACAACUUACUUAUCUUAAUGACAAUAUCAACAAAGGUGUGAUAUGUCAAUUCUCAAUGAAACAAUAUAAAUGCAUGCAUCUUUGUGAACAUAAGGUGUCUGCUCCUUUUAGGAUAGAAAGAAGUAAGUUUUACUGACUCAACAUAAAAGUAAAAGAUUGGCCCUUCGCAGAGGGAAGUAGGGAAAACUCAUGUGCUAGAGCUUUUAGGGAUUUAAAAAAAAUAAUCAUCAAGAUUGUAAAACAAGCUUUUGAGAGGUGCAUAAUUUGUCAACGAAUGCUAGUAGACAGCCCAAUACUUCUCAUGCUAGAAAAGUUUUGAGGAACGGUCCCAAAGUGGGGACGAUCUCAUCCCCUUAGUCUCCUUUGUUUAUCACUACCAAAGUUUUGUUAUUUCUCAUCAACAAAGCAUGAAGGAGGUUUUGUUUGUUGUUAUUAUCUUUUACUAGCUGGGCGCACUCAUGCCAGUCCCUUCUGGUGUUAGGGGUUCGCAGAUCAGACAUGCAAACCCAGGAUAAAACUUGUCCAGUAUGAGAAGAUCAUGAAUUAUCUACUACUUCCUCAUGAGCUAAAACAGAGGCACAAAACAGGGAGUAAUAUUUGAAGGUUUGAAGAUAGCACAUGAAUAAUAUACUUUAGGAGUGGCGGUGAAAUACCACAUAUAGGGAAGGUAUGGUGGACUCUUGGGAGGGUUGAGGUUUCAGGGCAUGGAUGCACAAGUAGUAUUCCCGCUUAGUGCAAGGGUUGGCUAGCAAAGGCUUUUGAGACCAGACAAAUAAUUUUGACUUGGAUGCAAAACAAUAUAAAGUUUAACAUAAAGAAUUGGCAUAAAACAUCAAGUUGUCUUCCUUGUCACCAUAACAUUUCAAGCAUAAGAACAUAAAGGUUUUGGCUAUGUCGCUACUAGAAAAACUCAUGCUUGUUGUUAUGACCAAUGCUAUGCUUGCCAAGAUUAAAUAAAGUUUUCAAAGCCAUACCUGAUAUGUAAUAUCAAUACUCCCAUAAGAAUCAACAUAUAAGAUCGAUUGCAUGAAGAGAAUACCAAGUGCAGCAAAUAAACCAAUAGACUUCUCAUUAAUAUUCCAUCAUAGACACUGCACGCUCACCGAUACAAGACUCUCCACAAAGGUGUUGGAAAUAUGCCCUAGAGGCAAUAAUAAAAUGGUUAUUAUCAUAUUUCCUUGUUCAUGAUAAUCGUCUAUUGUUCAUGCUAUAAUUUUAUUAACAGGAAACAAUAAUACAUAUGUGAAUAAAUAGAUCACAAUGUGUCCCUAGCAAGCCUUUAGUUGGCUAGCUCGUUGAUCAAUAGAUGAUCAUGGUUUCUUGAUCAUGGAAAUUAGAUGUCAUUGAUAACGGGAUCACAUCAUUGGGAUAAUGAUGUGAUGGACAAGACCCAAUCCUAAGCAUAUCACUAGAUCGUGUUGUUCGUAUGCUAAAGCUUUUCUAAUGUCAAGUGUGUAUUCCUUCGACCAUGAGAUUGUGCAACUCCCGGAUAUCGUAGGAGUGCUUUGGGUGUAUCAAACGUCACAACGUAACUGGGUGACUAUAAAGGUGCACUACGGGUAUCUCCAAAAGUGUCUGUUGGGUUGGUACUAAUCGAGAUUGGGAUUUGUCACUCCGUGUGAUGGAGAGGUAUCUCUAGGCCGACUCGGUAGAACAUCAUCAUGAGCUCAAUGUGACUAAGGAGUUAGUCACAUGAUGACGUGCUAUGGAACAAGUAAAGAGACAUAUCAGUAACGAGAUUGAACAAGGUAUAGGUAUACCGACGAUCGAAUCUCGGGCAAGUUCUAUACCGACAGACAAAGGGAAUUGUAUACGGGAUUGAUUGAAUCCUUGACAUCAUGGUUCAUCCGAUGAGAUCAUCGUGGAACAUGUGGGAUCCACCAUGGGUAUCCAGACCCUGCUGAUGGUUAUUGGCCGGAGAGAUGUCUCGGUCAUGUCUGCAUGCCUCCCGAACCCGUAGGGUCUACACACUUAAGGUUCGAUGACACUAGGGUUAUAGGGAAUUGUUAUACGAGGUUACCGAAGGUUGUUCGGAGUCCCAGAUGAGAUCCCGGACGUCACGAGGAGCUCCAGAAUGGUCCAGAGGUAAAGAUUGAUAUAUAGGAUGGAUGGGUUUGGACGUCGGAAAUGUUUCGGGCACCACCGGCAAAGUACUGGGACCACCGGAAGGGUUUCGGAGGCCCACCGGGAGAGGCCACCAGCCCCAGAAGGCUACAUGGGCCAAGUGUGAGAGGGAACCAGCCCCUGGAUGGGCUAGUGCACCCCCACACCUGGCCCAUGUAGCCUUCUGGGGCUGGUGGCCUCUCCCGGUGGGGGAAGGGGGGAACCCUAGCGCAGGUGGGCCUAAGGCCGACCAGGGGGUGCGCCACCCCCUCCCCCCUCCUGGCCGCCACCCCUCCCCCAUAUAGGGCUGCUGCCCCCCCUCAAGAGGGAAACCCUAAAUGGGGCACCACACUCCCUUCCCCAUAUACAUAGCUGGGGUUUUGGCCAUUGGAGAUACGGUUUUUCCAUCUCUCUCUCGGCGCAGCCCUGCUCUUCUUCUUCCUCCUCUCCCACGAUGCUUGGAGAAGCCCUGCCGGGAGACCUCGUCUCUUCAUCGACACCACGCCGUCGUGCUGCCGAAGAUCUUCCCCAACCUCUCCCUCCUCCUUGCUGGUUCAAGGUGCGGGAGACGUCACCGGGCUGCACGUGUGUUGAACGCGGAGGUGCCGUGGUUCGGCAAUAGAUCGGAAUCACACCGCGAUGUGAAUCACCGCGAGUACGACUCCAUCAACCGCGUUCUAGCAACACUUGUGCUUAGAGAUCUUCAAAGGUAUGAAGAUGAACUCUCCCGUAUUUCGUUGCUAGUCUCUCCAUAGGAAGAUCUGAAUAUGGCGUAGGAAAAUUUUGAAUUUAUGCUACGUAACCCAAUAGUGGCAUACAAGCCAAAUUUUCUAUGCGUAGAUUCUAUGCACGAGUAGAACAUAAAAAGUUGUGGGCGAUGGUUUUGUCAAUUGCUUGCUGCUACUAGUCUUAUUCUUUUCUGGCGGUAUUGUGGGAUGAAGCGGCUCGGACCAACCUUACACGUAUGCUUACGUGAGACAGGUUCCACCGACCAACAUGCACUAGGUGCAUAAGGUGGCUAGCGGGUGUUUGUCUCUCCCACUCUAGUCGGAUUGGAUUUGAUGAAAAGGGUCCGUAUGAAGGGUAAAUAGCUUUGGCAAAUCAUCGUUGUGGCUGUCACGUAGGUAAGAAGGCAUUCUUGCUAGAAACCCAAAUCAGCCACGUAAAACUUGUAACAACAAUUAGAGGACGUCUAACUUGUUUUUGCAGGGUUUGAUAUGUGAUGUGAUAUGGCCAAAAGUUGUGAUGUUACAUGUAUGAUGUAUGAGAUGAUCAUGUUCUUGUAAUAGGAUUCACGACUUGCAUGUCGAUGAGUAUGACAACCGGCAAGAGCCAUAGGAGUUGUCUUAAUUUAUUGUAUGAGAUGCAACGCCAUGUGCUUACUACUUUUAUUUCAUUGCUAACGAUUAGCUAUAGUAGUGGUAGUAGUAGUAUUAGUAGUAGUAGUUGGUGUGACGACUUCACGGAGACACGAUGAUGGAGAUCAUGAUGAUGGAGAUCAUGGUGUCACGCCAGUGAGAAUGAUAUUCAUGCGAUGCCCGAAGAUGGAGAUCGAAGGAGCAAAAAUGUAAUGGCCAUAUCAUGUCACUAUAUGAUUGCAUGUGAUGUUUAUCAUGUUUUUCAUCUUAUUGCUUAGAACGACGGUAGCAUAAUAAGAUGAUCCCUCAUAAAAUUUCGAGAACGUAUUCCCCUAAGUGUCCACCGUUGCGAAGGAUCGUUGUCUCGAAGCACCACGUGAUAAUCGGGUGUGAUAGAUUCUAACGUUCGCAUACAACGGGUGUAAGCCAGUUUACACACGCAGAACACUUAGGUUGACUCGACGAGCCUAGCAUGUACAUACAUGGCCUCGAAUACAGGAGACCGAAAGGUCGAACAUGAGUCGUAUGGUUGAUACGAUCAGCAUGGAGAUGCUCACCAUUGAUGAAUAGUCCGUCUCACGUGAUGAUCGGGCAUGGGCUAGUCGACGUGGAUCGUGUAACACUUGGAUGACUAGAGGGAUGUCGAUCUAAGUGGGAGUUCAUGAGAUGAACUUAAUUAUCAUGAACAUAGUCAAAUAGGUCUUUGCAAAUUAUGUUGUAACUUACGCUAUAGCUCUACGGUAUUUGAUACGUUCCUAGAGAAAAUAUGGUUGAAAGAUAGAAGUAGCAAUUGUGCGGACUCGGUCCGUUAACUGAGGAUUGUCCUCAUUGCUAAAUAGAAAGCUUAUGUCCUUAAUGCACCGCUCAGUGUGCUGAACCCCAAGCGUGAUCUGUGGAUGUUGCGAACAUCCGACAUACACCUUUUUGAUAACUACAUGAUAGUUCAGUGCAUAUUGCUUGAAUGACUUAGAAUUAAGGCAUUAAAGACGUUUCGAACAUCGCGGGACAUACGUGAUGAUCCAAGAGAUGAAAUUGGGAUUUCAUGCUCGUGCCCUUGUUGAGAGGUAUGAGACCUCAGACAAGAUUCUUUGUCUGCAAAAGUAAAGGAGAAGAUCUCAAUCAUUGAGCAUGUGCUCAGAUUGUCUGAGUACUACAAUCGCUUGAAUCGAGUGGGAGUUGAUCUUCCAGAUGAGAUAGUUAUAGUUCUCCAAAGUCACUGACAGCAAGCUACUAGAGCUUCGUGAUGAACUAUAUCAUAUUAAGGAUGGAUAUGAUGAUCCUUGAGCCAUUCGCGAUGUUUGACACCGCAGAAGUAGAAAUUGAAUGGGAGCAUCAAUUGUUGAUGGUUUGUGAAAACACUAGUUUCAAGAAGGGAAAUGGUAUGAAGGGAUACUUCAUUAAACGCAAACCAGUUGCUGCUAUAGUGAAGAGACCCAAGGUUGAACCAAAACCCGAGACUAAGUGCUUCUAUAAUAAGGGGAACAAUCACUGAAGAGGAACUACCCUAGACACUUGGUAGAUGAGAAUGUUGACAAAGUCAACAAAAGUAUAUUGGAUAUACAUGAUAUUGAUGUGUACUUUACUAGUACUCCUAGUAGCACCAGGGUAUUAGAUACCGGUUCGGUUGCUAAGUGUUAGUAACUCGAAAUAAAAGCUACGGAAUAAACAGAGACUAGCUAAAGGCAAGGUGACGAUGUGUGUUGGAAGUGUUUCCAAGGUUGAUAUGAUCACACAUCGCACGCUCCCUCUACCAUCGAGGUUAGUAUUAAACCUAAAUAAUUGUUAUUUGGUGUUUGCGUUGAGCAUAAAUAUGAUUGGAUUAUGUUAAUGGCAAAUACGAUUAUUCAUCUAAAGAGAAUAAUGGUUAUUCUGUUUACUUGAAUGAUACCUUAAAUGGUCUUGCACCUAGAAUGAAUGGUUUAUUGAAUCUCGAUCGUAGUGAUACACAUGUUCAUAUUAUUGUUGCCAAAAGAUACAAAGUAGUAAUGAUAGUACCACUUACUUGUGGCACUGCUGCUUGAGUCAUAUUGGUAUAAAAUGCAUGGAGAAGCUCCAUGCUGAUGGAUCUUUGUACUCACUCAUUUUUGAAACGUUUGAGACAUGCAAACCAUGCCUGUUGGUAUAAACGCAUGAAGAAACUCCAUACGGAUGGAUCGUUUGACUCACUUGAUUUUUGAAUCACUUGAGACAUGCAAAUCAUACCACAUGGGCAAGAUGACUGAAGACCUCUUUUUCAAUGAGAUGGAACAAGAAUGUAACUUGUUGGAAGUAAUACAUUUUGAUGUGUGCAGUCCGAUGAGUACUGAGGCACGCAGUGGAUAUCAUUAUGUUCAUACUUCACAAAUUAUUUGAGUAGAUACUAGUGUAUUUACUUGAUGAAACACAGGUCUGAAUUAUUGAAAAAGGUUCAAGUAAUUUCAGAGUGAAGUUGAAGAUCAUCGUGACAAGAGGAUAAUAUGUCUACGAUGUGAUCUUGGAGUGAUACGUCCAUUUCGCAUCAUGCUUUUAUGUUGAUAUUUAUCGCUUUAUGGGUUGUUAUUACACUUUACGGUACAAUACUUAUGCCUUAUCUCUCUUAUUUUAUAAGGUUUACAUGAAGAGGGAGAAUGCCGACAGCUGGAAUUCUGGUCUGAAAAAGGAGCAAAUUUGAGAUACCUAUUCUACGCAACUCCAAAAGCCGUGAAAACCAACGAGGAAUUAUUUUGGAUUUUAUAAAAAAAUCUGGGCAGAAGAAGUACUGGAGGGGAGCCACCAGGAGGCCACAAGCCUGCCAGGCGCGGCCUACCCCCUGGCCGCGCCUGGGUGGCUUGUGGGCCCCCUGUUGCCCCUAUGGCUCCCAUCUUUUGCUAUAAGUAGGGUUUUGUUCCAGAAAAAAUCAGGAGGAGGCUUUCGGGAAGAGACGCCGCCGCCACGAGGCGGAACUUGAGGAGAACCAAUUUAGAGCUCCGGCAGGGCCGUCCUGCCGGGGAAAACUUCCCUCCCAGAGGGGGAAAUCGUCGCCAUCGUCAUCACCAACACUCGUCUCAGCAGAGGGGACUCAUCUCCAUCAACAUCUUCAUCAACACCAUCUCAUCUCCAAACCGUAGUUCAUCUCUUGUAACCAGUCUCCGUCUCGCGACUCCGAUUGGUACUUGUAAGGUUGCUAGUAGUGUUAAUUAUUCUUUGUAGUUGAUGCUAGUUGGAUUACUCGGUGGAAGAUCAUAUGUUCAGAUCCCUAAUGCUAUUCAAUACCUCUCUGGUCAUGAAAAUAAUUAUGCUUUGUGAGUAGUCACUUUUGUUCCUCGGGACAUGGGAUAAGUCUUGCUAUAAGUAGUCAUGUGAAUUUGGUAUUCGUUCGAUAUUUUGAUGCUAUGUAUGUUGUCUUUCCUCUAGUGGUGUUAUGUGAACGUCGACUACAUGACACUUCACCAUUAUUUGGGCCUAGAGGAAGGCAUUGGGGAGUAAUAAGUAGAUGAUGGGUUGCUAGAGUGACAGAAGCUUAAACCCUAGUUUAUGCGUUGCUUCGUAAGGGGCUGAUUUGGAUCCACUAGUUUAAUGCUAUGGUUAGACUUUGUAUUAAUUCUUCUUUCGUAGUUGCGGAUGCUUGCGAGAGGGGUUAAUCAUAAGUGGGAUGUCUGUCCAAGUAAGGGCAGCACCCAAGCACCGGUCCACCCACAUAUCAAAAUAUCAAAGUAGCGAACGCGAAUCAUAUGAACAUGAUGAAAACUAGCUUGACAAAAAUUCCUAUGUGUCCUCGGGAGCGCUUCACCUCAUAUAAGAGUUUGUCCAGGAUUGUCCCUUGCUACAAAAGGGAUUGGGCCAUAUUGCUGCACCUUUGUUACUACUGUUACUUGCUACUUGCUACAAAUUAUCUUAUCACACAACUAUCUGUUACCGAUAAUUUCAGUGCCUGCAGAGAAUAACUUGCUGAAAACCACUUGUCAGUUCCUUGUGCUCCUCAUUGGGUUCGACACUCUUACUUAUCGAAAGGACUACGAUAGAUCCCCUACACUUGUGGGUCAUCAAGACUCUUUUCUGGCGCCGUUGCCAGGGAGUGAAGCGCCUUUGGUAAGUGGAAUUUGGUAAGGAAACAUUUAUAUAGUGUGCUGAAAUUUAUUGUCACUUGUCACUAUGGAAACUAAUCCUUUUGAGGAGCUUGUUUGGGGUAUCUUCACGUCGAACGGAAGCACAAGGAGUUGCUCCUCAAGCUGCUGCACCUACUGAAAAUAUUUGUUAUGAAAUUCCUUCGGGUAUGCUAGAGAAACUGUUGGCUAAUCCUUUUACAAGAGAUGGAACAUCACACCCCGACUUGCAUCUAAUCUACGUAGAUGAAGUUUGUGGUUUAUUUAAGCUUGCAGGUUUGCCCGAGGAUGAGGUCAAGAAGAAGGUCUUUCCCUUAUCUUUGAGGGAUAAAGCAUUGACAUGGUAUAGUCUAUGUGAUGAUACUGGAUCAUGGAACUACAACCGAUUAAAAUUGGAAUUUCAUCAAAAGUUUUAUCCUAUGCAUUUGGUACAUCGUGAUCGGAAUUAUAUCUAUAAUUUUUGGCCUCGUGAUAGAGAAAGUAUCGCUCAAGCUUGGGGAGGCUUAAGUCAAUGUUAUAUUCAAGCCCAACCAUGAGCUCUCGAGAGAAAUUAUUAUUCAGAACUUUUAUGCUCGGCUUUCUCAUGAUAAUCGCACCAUGCUUGACACUUCUUGUACCGAUUCUUUUAUGAAGAGAGAUAUUGACUUCAAAUGGAAUUUAUUGGAAAUAAUUAAACGCAACUCUGAAGAUUGGGAGUUUGAUGAAGGUAAGGAGUCAGGUAUGAAUCUCAAGUUCGGUUGCGUUAAAUCCUUCAUUGAAACAAAUACCUUUUGUGAUUAUAGCGCUAAACAUGGACUUGACUCUGAGAUAGUAGCUUCAUCAUGUGAAUCAUUUGCUGCUCAUAUUAAUCUCCCUAAAGAGAAGUGGUUUAAAUAUCAUCCUCCCAUAGAAGUCAAUGUAGUUAAACCCAAUCCAGUUGAAGAGAAAGUCAUUGCUUAUAAUGAUCCUAUUGUCCCUAGUGCUUACAUUGAGAAACCACCUUUCCCUGUUAGAAUAAAGGAUCAUGCUAAAGCUCCAACUGUGAUACGUAAGGGCUACAUUAGAACACCUACACCCCCUGAGCAAAUUAAAGUUGAACCUAGCAUUGCUAUUAUCAAAGAUCUCCUGUCCGACAAUGUUGAUGGGCAUGAUAUUCACUUAUGUGAAGAUGUUGCUAGAAUUGCUAAACCUCAUGCUAGAGACAAACAUAGGCCUGUUGUUGGCAUGUUUGUUGUUUCUGUUAAGAUAGGAGAUCAUUGUUAUCAUGGUUUAUGUGACGUGGGUGCUAGUGUUAGUGCAAUACCUCGAUCUUUAUAUGAUGAAAUUAAAGACGAGAUUGCACCUGUCGAGAUGGAACCUAUUGAUGUUACUAUUCAGCUUGCCAAUAGAGAUACUAUCUGCUCUUUGGGAGUUGUUAGAGAUGUUGAAGUCUUGUGUGGUAAAACUAAAUAUCCUACAGAUUUUCUUGUUCUUGCUACCACACAAGAUAGCUUUUGUCCCGUCAUAUUUGGCCAACCUUUCCUCAAUACUGUCAAUGCUCAUAUUGACUGUGAGAAGCAAACUGUCACUGUUGGCUUUGAAGGUGUGUCACAUGAAUUCAAUUUCUCCAAGUUUGGUAGACAACCUCAUGAAUUGUCUAGUAAGGAUGAAAUUAUUUCCCUAGCUUCUAUUGUUGUGCCUCCUACUGAUCCUUUAGAGCAAUACUUGCUUGAGCAUGAAAAUGAUAUGCAUAUGGAUGAAAGGAAUGAGAUAGAUAGAGUUAUCUUUGAACAACAUCCUAUCCUUAAGAAUAAUUUGCCUGUUGAACUACUUGGAGAUCCACCCCCACCAAAGGGUGAUCCUGUGUUUGAGCUUAAACAAUUACAUGAUACUCUUAAGUAUGCUUAUCUUGAUGAAAAAGAGAUAUAUCCUGUUAUUAUUAGUGCUAGCCUUUCAGAGCAUGAAGAAAAUAAAUUAUUGAAAACUCUGAGGAAGCACCAUGCUACUAUUGGAUAUACUCUUGAUGAUCUUAAGGGCAUUAGUCCCACUCUAUGCCAGCAUAAAAUUAAAACUGAUCCUGAUUCCAAACCAGUUGCCGAUCAUCAAGGAAGAUUAAAUCCUAAGAUGAAAGAGGUAGUAAGAAAGGAAAUACUAAAGCUCCUGGAAGCAGGUAUUAUCUAUCCUGUUGCUCAUAGUGAUUGGGUAAGUCCGGUGCAUUGCGUCCCUAAGAAGGGAGGUAUUACCGUUGUCCCUAAUGAUAAAGAUGAAUUGAUCCCACAGAGGAUUGUUACUGGCUAUAGGAUGGUAAUUGAUUUUAGGAAAUUGAAUAAAGCCACUAGGGAAGAUCAUUACCCUUUGCCUUUUAUUGACCAAAUGCUAGAAAGAUUGUCUAAACACACACACUUCUGUUUUCUAGAUGGUUAUUCUGGUUUCUCCCAAAUACCAGUGGCACAAUCUGAUCAGGAGAAAACCACUUUUACCUGCCCUUUCGGUACCUUUGCUUAUAGACGUAUGCCUUUUGGCUUAUGUAAUGCACCUGCUACCUUUCAAAGAUGUAUGAUGGUUAUAUUCUCUGACUUUUAUGAAAAGAUUGAUGAGGUUUUCAUGGAUGACUUAUCCGUUUACGGGUCUCUUGUGAUGAUUGCCUCAACAACCUUGAUCGAGUUCUGCAGAGAUGUAAAGAUACCAACCUUGUCUUGAAUUGGGAGAAGUGCCACUUUAUGGUUAAUGAAGGCAUCGUCUUGGAACAUAAAAUUUCCGAAAAAUGUAUUGAAGUCGAUAAGGCUAAAGUUGAUGCGGUCGAGAAAAUGCCAUGCCCUACAGACAUUAAAGGUAUAAGAAGUUUCCUUGGUCAUGAUGGUUUCUAUAGAAGGUUCAUUAAGGACUUCUCUAAGAUUUGUAGGCCUCUUACCAAUCUCUUGCAAAAGGAUAUUCCUUUUGUUUUUGAUGAUGAUUGUGAGGAAGCAUUUGAAAUACUUAAGAAGGCCUUGAUAACUGCACCUAUUGUUCAACCACCUGAUUGGAGCUUACCUUUUGAAAUUAUGUGUGAUGUUAGUGAUUAUGUUGUUGGUGCCAUUCUAGGACAAAGAGUUGAUAAGAAAUUGAAUGUUAUUCAUUAUGCUAGUAAAACUCUAGACAGUGCCCAAAGAAACUAUGCUACUACUGAAAAGGAAUUUUUAGCAGUCGUGUUUGCAUGUGAAAAGUUCAGAUCUUACAUUGUUGAUUCCAAAGUUACUAUUCACACUGAUCAUGCUGCUAUUAAGUAUCUUAUGGAAAAGAAAGAUGCUAAACCUAGACUUAUCAGAUGGGUUCUCUUGCUACAAGAAUUUGAUUUGCAUGUUGUUGAUAGGAAGGGUGCUGAGAACCCCGUAGCAGAUAACUUGUCUAGGUUGGAGAAUGUUCUUGAUGACCCACAACCUAUUGAUGAUAGCUUUCCGGAUGAACAAUUGAAUGUCAUCAAUGCUUCAUGUAGUACACCUUGGUAUGCUGAUUAUGCAAAUUAUAUUGUUGCCAAAUUUAUACCACCUAGUUUCACAUACCAACAAAAGAAGAAAUUCUUCUUUGAUUUGAGAUAUUACUUUUGGGAUGAUCCUCAACUUUAUAAAGAAGGAGUAGAUGGUGUUAUUAGACGUUGUGUACCUGAGCAUGAAUAGGGACAGAUCCUACAGAAGUGUCACUCCGAGGCUUACGGAGGACACCAUGCGGGAGAUAGAACUGCACACAAGGUAUUGCAAUCCAGAUUUUAUUGGCCUACUCUCUUCAAGAAUGCCCGUAAGUUUGUCUUGUCUUGUGAUGAAUGUCAAAGAAUAGGUAAUAUCAGUAAACGUCAGGAAAUGCCUAUGAAGUAUUCACUUGUCAUUGAACCAUUUGAUGUUUGGGGUUUUGAUUAUAUGGGACCUUUUCCAAAGUCUAACGGGUAUACUCAUAUUCUAGUUGAUGUUGAUUACGUUACUAAGUGGGUACAAGCUAUCCCAACUAGUAGUGCUGAUCACAAAACCUCUAUUAGGAUGCUUAAAGAAGUUAUUUUCCCUAGAUUUGGAGUCCCUAGAUAUUUAAUGACUGAUGGUGGUUCACAUUUUAUUCAUGGUGCUUUUCGUAAAACGCUUGCUAAGUAUGAUGUCAACCACAGAAUUGCAUCUCCUUACCAUCCUCAGUCCAGUGGUCAAGUAGAGCUAAGUAAUAGAGAAAUUAAACUAAUUCUGCAAAAGACUGUUAAUAGGUCUAGAAAUAAUUGGUCUAAGAAGCUUGAUGAUGCAUUGUGGGCUUAUAGAACUGCUUAUAAGAAUCCCAUGGGCAUGUCUCCGUACAAAAUGGUUUACGGUGAAGCAUGUCAUUUACCUCUUGAGCUAGAGCAUAAGGCUUAUUGGGCAAUCAAAGAGCUCAACUUUGAUUUCAAACUUGCUGGUGAGAAGAGGUUAUUUGAUAUUAGCUCACUUGAUGAAUGGAGAACUCACGCAUAUGAAAAUGCCAAGUUGUUUAAAGAAAAGGUUAAGAGGUGGCAUGAUAAAAGGAUACAAAAACGUGAGUUCAAUGUAGGUGAUUAUGUCUUGCUAUACAAUUCUUGUUUACGAUUUUUUGCAGGCAAGCUUCUCUCUAAAUGGGAAGGUCCUUACAUUGUUGAGGAAGUAUAUCAUUCUGGUGCCAUAAAGAUCAAGAACACGGAAGGUAAUUUUCUGAGAGUUGUAAAUGGGCAAAGAAUCAAGCAUUAUAUCUCAGGUACUCCCAUAAAUGUUGAAAGCAAUAUUAUUAAUACCAUAACUCCGGAGGAGUACAUAAGGGAUAUUUAUCAGCCUGUUUCAGACUCCAAAAACGAAGAGGUAUGUGAUUUGGUAAGUAAACCGACUCAAGAACUUUUCCAGUAGCAAUUUUUCUCCGUUUUGGAAUUUUUAGAAAAAUAGAAAAAUUUAAAGUAGUCCGGAAAGCGCACAAGGAGGCGACAGGCCUGCUAGGCCUACCCCCCUGGCCGCGCCUGGGUGGCUUGUGGGCACCUCGUGUGCCUCCCAGACUCCGUUUUCUGGUGGAAUACUCCUUUUGGUCGGGAAAAAUUCAUUAUAUAUUCUCCCGAAAGUUCUGACCCUCAUAUCACGCAAAUAUCCUCUGUUUUCAUUUCGAGCUACUGAGCACACAGAUCUAGAUCGCUAUGGCGUCCCCAAAAGUUCCGAAGGACAAGUUCUUCGAGAAGGUCAUCAAUCCCUACCUCGCGGGAGUCCUGCAACACCCUCAAUCUAUCGAGAUGCAUGAGGGGGUGCUGCACAUCCGUGAUGUUGAGGGGCCCAAGAAGACCGGAAGCAUGGAGGCG